UACUCAGUUGGGUUGGUGUGCUUGACGGGAUCGAUGAACUGAAAGCUUACGUACAGAAUACAUAUACCGUCAUCACCGAUGCAUAAAAGCCAUCUGCAGUCACCUUUCUCCUGUUACUGCACAUUCCUGCACGAAACAGAAGUCACCUUUCUCCUGUUACUGCACAUUCUUGUACGAAACAGAAGUCAGUUAAAUUAUAAUAAGCUGCCUGAGCAAGAAGUUCAUACAGCCCUUGAUCAUCAUGCAGAUUAAUUUUACGGCGAUUUUGGAUGAGAAACUAGACGGCGAGAAGAAAUUUCUAGACGGCAUCUCAUGGCACUGCAGAUGAAGAAAAACUGUGGCGUCAACAUGGCACGAGGGGAAUUGAGAAACUUCUUUAUAU
RNAcentral lists this long non-coding RNA (382 nucleotides) under Populus tremula. Its description in RNAcentral is "long non-coding RNA (PTRE_LNC000182)". The record is from RNAcentral. Lineage: Eukaryota; Viridiplantae; Streptophyta; Magnoliopsida; Malpighiales; Salicaceae.